RNAcentral lists this long non-coding RNA (545 nucleotides) under Mytilus galloprovincialis (Mediterranean mussel). The record is from RNAcentral. Lineage: Eukaryota; Metazoa; Mollusca; Bivalvia; Mytilida; Mytilidae.
GCGGGCUGAUAUGAAAAGUUUAUCACAUGCUUCGAUUGUUAUCACAUGCCUUUCCGUAACGUUUUCACAUGGCAUUCCGGUAGUGCUCGGCCAAUUCCGGAAAAUACACCUCAAUGCUUUGUUUUCAGUGAAAAACAUUACAAAGUAGUGUACAAAACAAUUAUUUAAAUACUGGAAAGUAUAUUGUUUAAAAUAAUAAAAAAAUAAAAUAAAAAAAACCAAACAAAUUAUUUUUUAAGUUUUUCUUAAACAUAAUUUAGAAAGUUUCCUUAAAAAGUUGACUUUUCCAAACAAUGAUCAUUAGGUAUAUUGUUGAAUUAUUUUUUGCCGAUUCGUCCAUAUUAAAAUGUUUGUUUUCUCUCUCUCUGUUGAGACAUAUGAUAGAAAGAUUUCAUAUUGAAUGUAUCAAAUUUUGGGCCCGACGGCCGUGAACGUUUUUACUCUUUAAACUUCAGGAACCACAUAAAAGGAUCAAUAUGUGAAUUUGUUAUUUUUCUCUACUGUUGAAGCAUAUGAUAAAAAGAUCAUAACAUGUCAUUUUUCAU